AACGCGAAGAACCUUACCUGGUCUUGCAUCCACAGAACCUUGUAGAGAUACGAGGGUGCCUUCGGGAACUGUGAGACAGGUGCUGCAUGGCUGUCGUCAGCUCGUGUUGUGAAAUGUUGGGUUAAGUCCCGCAACGAGCGCAACCCUUAUCCUUUGUUGCCAGCGGUCCGGCCGGGAACUCAAAGGAGACUGCCAGUGAUAAACUGGAGGAAGGUGGGGAUGACGUCAAGUCAUCAUGGCCCUUACGACCAGGGCUACACACGUGCUACAAUGGCGCAUACAAAGAGAAGCGACCUCGCGAGAGCAAGCGGACCUCAUAAAGUGCGUCGUAGUCCGGAUUGGAGUCUGCAACUCGACUCCAUGAAGUCGGAAUCGYUAGUAAUCGUGGAUCAAAAUGCCACGGUGAAUACGUUCCCGGGUCUUGUACACACCGGUG
RNAcentral lists this ribosomal RNA (436 nucleotides) under uncultured bacterium. RNAcentral's name for it is "bacterial SSU rRNA". It matches the Rfam family "Bacterial small subunit ribosomal RNA", at positions 958 to 1395 of the family's 1533-position model. The record is from RNAcentral.